UGGGGAAUAUUGCACAAUGGGGGAAACCCUGAUGCAGCGACGCCGCGUGAGCGAAGAAGGUUUUCGAAUCGUAAAGCUCUGUCCUAUGAGAAGAUAAUGACGGUAUCAUAGGAGGAAGCCCCGGCUAAAUACGUGCCAGCAGCCGCGGUAAUACGUAGGGCGCGAGCGUUGUCCGGAAUUAUUGGGCGUAAAGGGCUUGUAGGCGGUUGGCCGCGUCUGCCGUGAAAUCCUCUGGCUUAACUGGGGGCGUGCGGUGGGUACGGGUUGACUUGAGUGCGGUAGGGGAGACUGGAAUUCCUGGUGUAGCGGUAGAAUGCGCAGGUAUCAGGAGGAACACCGGUGGCGAAGGCGGGUCUCUGGGCCGUUACUGACGCUGAGGAGCGAAAGCGUGGGGAGCGAACAGG
This 404-nucleotide ribosomal RNA is filed under the name Verrucomicrobiota bacterium. Its description in RNAcentral is "Verrucomicrobia bacterium partial 16S ribosomal RNA". It matches the Rfam family "Bacterial small subunit ribosomal RNA", at positions 355 to 776 of the family's 1533-position model. Lineage: Bacteria; Pseudomonadati; Verrucomicrobiota. The record is from RNAcentral.